GGAUCUUGCAGGGAGGGCUGUGGCCAGGUCUCAGUUCCCUGCACAGCACAUUUCUCGCCAGCGGUGGUCCGGACAUGGCUGCAGCAGACAGCUUCCUGUGGCUCGCCUCGGAGCCCCUGCCUAGGUCGUACUGCUUUGCUGGGUUCUCUCCCUGGGCCUCCUGAUCGCUGGGGCUGGGUCUCUACCGGGACUCUGGGGUGAGACCAGGGCCUUACCAAACGCUCCGAGGAGCUGACUGCAGCGAAGAAGACCCGGGAAGGAACACACCGGACAAGUUGGAAGAGUCUCGCUAUGCAGUUCAGACCGGCCUUGAACUCACUAUGGAGCCCAACUGACCUUGAACUCUCAGUUAUCCUCCUGCCUCAGCCUCCCAAGUGUUGGGAUUAUAGGCCUGCACCAUCAUGCCUGGCAUCAUUAAUAUUUUUUUUAGGGACAUUCAUGUUUGAUUUGUGGCAAUAAUUCACUCAUUUUUAUUGCUUUAUCAUAACUGAUUGUAUAAAUAUACCACAAUUGUAUUUUUGUGGAUAUUUUAUUAUUUAGGCCUUUAUUAAAAAAUGCUGCUAUACACAUUUGCAUACAUAUCUUUGAAUGCAUUUAUGUAAUGUUUCUUUAGGACAUGUCCCUUGGAGUAGAAGUUUUGGGCAAUAAGAUAUGCAUAUGUUCAGCUAUAGCACACACUGCCAAACAGUUUUCCAAAUUAGUAUUCCAAGUUAACCCUCAACAUUUGGUAUUAUCAUUCUUUUUACUUUUAACCAUUCAGGUGGGCGCCUAGUGAUAGAACUCUGCUAUUUUAAUUUGUAUUCUCCCCGUGACUAAUGAUGUUUUCAGUGCCUUUUCCUGUGUUUAUUGACCAUUCAAGCAUCCUGUUUCUAUUAAAUUUUUGUCUUUAGC
This is a long non-coding RNA of Heterocephalus glaber (naked mole-rat), 891 nucleotides long. The record is from Ensembl. NCBI's taxonomy places the organism in Eukaryota, Metazoa, Chordata, Mammalia, Rodentia, Bathyergidae.